This 343-nucleotide long non-coding RNA is filed under the name Carica papaya (papaya). RNAcentral describes it as "long non-coding RNA (CPAP_LNC006569)". Lineage: Eukaryota; Viridiplantae; Streptophyta; Magnoliopsida; Brassicales; Caricaceae. The record is from RNAcentral.
AUUCCAACAAUUUCACCGGUUCAGUACCUGUUAGUCUAUGGAAAUCUGUAUGCUUGAUGGAGUUCUCUGCUGCAAAUAACUUUUUGGACGGGCCUCUUCCUGCAGAAAUUGGUAAUGCCGUUUCACUUCAGAGGCUUGUUCUUAGUAACAAUCGGUUGAAGGGCAAAAUACCUAAGGAGAUUGGCAAUCUCACAGCUCUUUCCGUUCUUAAUUUGAACUCAAAUUUCUUUGAGGGGAACAUACCUGUGGAGCUUGGAUAUUGCGCUGGUCUAACCACACUGGACCUGGGAAAUAACAUUCUCAAUGGAUCAAUUCCUGAGAAAUUUGCAGGCCUGGCUCAGCU